UAAUACGGAGGAUGCGAGCGUUAUCCGGAUUCAUUGGGUUUAAAGGGUGCGUAGGCGGCUCGACAAGUCAGCGGUGAAAUGCAAGGGCCUAACCCUUGACGUGCCGUUGAAACUGCCGGGCUAGAAUGCGGAUGCUGUGGGAGGAAUGUGUAGUGUAGCGGUGAAAUGCAUAGAUAUUACACAGAACACCGAUUGCGAAGGCAUCUCACAAAUCCGCUAUUGACGCUGAGGCACGAAAGUGCGGGGAUCAAACAGGAUUAGAUACCCUGGUAGUCCACGCAGUAAACGAUGAUAACUAACCGCUGGUUUUUAGGAUUCAGUGGCCAAGCGAAAGCGAUAAGUUAUCCACCUGGGGAGUACGACCGCAAGGUUGAAACUCAAAGGAAUUGACGGGGGCCCGCACAAGCGGAGGAACAUGUGGUUUAAUUCGAUGAUACGCGAGGAACCUUACCUAGACUCAAAUGGGAACUGACCGGGCCAGAGAUGGUUUUUCCUUCGGACAGUUUCAAGGUGCUGCAUG
This 520-nucleotide ribosomal RNA is filed under the name uncultured bacterium. RNAcentral's name for it is "bacterial SSU rRNA". It matches the Rfam family "Bacterial small subunit ribosomal RNA", at positions 521 to 1047 of the family's 1533-position model. The record is from RNAcentral.